GAAAAGAAAAGAAAGAAGAGGUGCUGCGGAAAAAAAGAGAAAAAGAGAGAAAGAGAAGAGAAAAAUCAGGUAUUUUUUUAAAAAUAUUUGAUUAUGUUAUUGUUAUUGUUUUGUAUAAUUUGUAUUUUUUUUUUGUUUUAGUUUAGUUAUUAAGAUUAAAAUCAAUAAAACUCAAAUUAAUAGUUUUAGUUAGGGUUUUA
This 200-nucleotide long non-coding RNA is filed under the name Gossypium raimondii (Peruvian cotton). RNAcentral's name for it is "long non-coding RNA (GRAI_LNC010899)". The record is from RNAcentral. Lineage: Eukaryota; Viridiplantae; Streptophyta; Magnoliopsida; Malvales; Malvaceae.